Molecule: long non-coding RNA, 1117 nt
Filed under: Mytilus galloprovincialis (Mediterranean mussel)
Lineage: Eukaryota; Metazoa; Mollusca; Bivalvia; Mytilida; Mytilidae
Source: RNAcentral
CUUCCAUUAGUUCACUGUUGUAGCCUAAACAUAUAUUCAAAAGGCUAAGUCUAAGAAAUCAAGUUGAACCCCAUCAUGAGUUGAAACAUCAAUAUAUAUAUAGUCUUAGGUCUCUACUUUUUAUAUUUUGUUGUAAGAGAUGUAUAAAUACUCUGUCACGUCCGGUCUAUGUUUUAGUUAGUUUUUUUCUGUUUGUAUCGAUCUGAUGAGACAAGCCAUUUUCAACUGGCUUCUAUAGUUUGUUCAUAUGUUAGAAGGUUGAGCGCUCACAAACAUGUUUAAACCCGCCACAUUAUGUAUGCGCCUGUCUUUUGUAUAGAACCUGCAAUUUAGUGGUUGUAAUGGUUCAUGUCAUUAAUUUUUGUUUUUCCCAAUUGAUUUGUGAAUUAUGCCGUUAUUUUUCUCAAUUUAUUUGUUUCACUUUUUAUUUAUGUCUUGGCCUUUCAUAAUCGACUUUAAGGUAUCGGCUUUUGUCAUUGUUGAAAGGUCGUACCGUUACCUCUUAUUGCUAACAUCUACUAAAUAUGAACUUUGGUGGAAAGUUGUCUCAUUGGCAAUCAUACAACAUCGCCUUAUAUUUAUAAUCUUAGGAAAGGUAUAGGAAAUAGUAAGGAAAUUGGAAAUAUAUAUGCACGCCAUUUAAUAAAAUUCAUGCUAGUGCUUUAUUACAGAAAAUAACAUGCAAAACAUUAAACGUUUGAAGUUGUAAAUUGUGUUAAAGCUUGCGGAAGAAUAUCUCAAAAACGUUUUACGACACUCCCGAUAAGGACCGGUAACUCUGUAUUUUUUUGCGGGAAAAUAUGAAUGGCUUCUCAUAUCUAAUCUUUCAGAAAAAUCGAUUUCUUACAAAAGAGUGUCCACCAUGCACUUACACUGCACUAUUAAAAGCAUAGUAGAAUAUAUUGAUAUACAAAUGGAUGAAAUAUAAAAAAAGAAGAUGUGCAUGGUAUGAUUGCCAAUGAGACAACUAUCCACAAAAGACCAAAAUGACACAAACAUUAACAACUAUAGGUCACCGUAAGGCCUUCAACAAUGAGCAAAGCCCAUACCGCGUAGUCAGCUAUAAAAGGCCCCGAUAAGACAAUGUAAAACAAUUCAAACGAGAAAACUAACGGCC